Terrapene triunguis (Three-toed box turtle) is the source of this 928-nucleotide long non-coding RNA. RefSeq lists it as uncharacterized. The record is from RefSeq and is a predicted model, not a curated record. NCBI's taxonomy places the organism in Eukaryota, Metazoa, Chordata, Testudines, Emydidae. The transcript has 2 exons.
UACAAUGACCUUUGAUAUAAAGGUCUGUUUAAAAAAGAUAUGAGAAGGAGCUAGACCAACUGACUUAAUUUAAACAGAAAUGGUCGUCUGAUCUCACGGAAAGACUGUGUUAAGAUUAUGACUGGUGAACAAGAGGAGCAGAGGAUUGGAAAUCAAUGAACCAAAAUCGGUGUGUUGGAAAUUAAGCCUGCUUGGUGGACAAAAUAAUGAGUGGCUGGAUUAUUCCACCCAUCGCCUCUUUGGGGACCAUUAAAGAGACUUUAGAGGGGAGACUAAACCUUACUGACAUCACCGCAGCUGCAGUGGAAGGAUUGUUGCCUGCCUGAUACCACACAUUGAUACUCCAAUAGGGACGCUUGACCAUCAGUGCUGCAAAAGCGAGGACCUCAAACUGAUACAUGUUGGUGAGACGAGAGACAGCCCAUCCAGCAUUUCCCAGUCUGAGAAGGAGCAGUGAUUGAGAGGGACUGAGCAGACCAACCAGAUGAUGCCCCUGACCCAGAAGGUGAGCCCGGGUCCAGGGCAACAGCUGUCAUGGCCAACCUGCCAGCAUCCAUCUGUGCCUGGCCAGCCACUCUGUAUCUCAAGAACAUCAACAAAAGCUGAAUUUCCCCCAGCUUUACUGUCCUAUCUCUUCUCUCCCUGUGUGUGUCCCCGAUUUGUCUAAAGCAGGAAAGUGAUGAUUAUUCCCUAUUCAGAAUUGAACAACAGCACUAACCCUUUCUUCCCCACCAAGAAGCACUGUUAGACUGACUGAAUAAGAGACUUUAGCCAAUAUCCACUGUCUCCAAAAAGGGACCUUGCUAGGUUUUGAUUGUUUGUUUUGCAUAAACAGUCAAUUUCAGUGGCAGUGCUCUUUACUUCCUGUGGAUUAUUUUCCUUUUGUGUGUUUCAAUCAAUAAACUUCUGCCCUGUGGCAUGAAUUGAA